Molecule: long non-coding RNA, 384 nt
Filed under: Gossypium barbadense (sea-island cotton)
Lineage: Eukaryota; Viridiplantae; Streptophyta; Magnoliopsida; Malvales; Malvaceae
Description: long non-coding RNA (GBAR_LNC002633)
Source: RNAcentral
CCCAAGACUCGAGGAAACCUCCAUCCAAGACAAAGGACGGAAAAAUAUUAAUCCGAAACAGACUUCGUCUUACUAGUAUAAUGGCCGGAACCCGGCAUACAGACGAUAUCUUUAUUCUACCUGAAAUGUAGAGCACGGCUAAGGGCGGCUCUCUUGAACUUGAAACCACCGAUGACGUCUUUCUUCUACCUGGAGGAAACACGGAAGCAGAAGAUAUAUACAAGGCUGCUGGAGAAAAUGCAGCACAAGCUCCAAAACUUAGUCGACCGAUAACAAGGGGGUCGAGGCACCAAACGGGACAGCCAAACGUACCGUUAUGAAGAGGAGAGGGAGAUCUAUUGAACCCCUACCGUCAUGGUCAGAGAAGUCACCGGAACCAGCAGC